CAGAGUCGGCCACGACUGGACCUAAUGGUCAGGGGUCCCUUUACCUUUUUAUGACUGUAGUUGCUUGGGCUUGCAUCUGCUUGCUUCUCUGCGACAAUCAUUUGCAUUCCUUUGCACUUUGCGCAGGAAAAGAGACAAACUUUUGCUGCCAGCAGUUAAACUUCUCCCCCCAAAUGCAAAGUGACUUGAGCUCCAAAUCCUUGUUUCCAUAGCUGUUUCAUAUUCAUUUUAGCUGCAAGAAGGAGAGUUCAUCUUACUUUGAAAUGGAGCAUGUGUGGCUUCCAGUGAAGUGGAUGUUUCUUUUAUGCCGACGAGCCGUCACACGGCAAGUUCUCAAAACCUCUUCAUUGGGGAGGAAGAGGACUAGAUGAAUUUUUCUAUUGAAGCCGGGGUUUUGCCCUGGAGCUCCUUGUCAUUGUCGGCUUAGGAAACUGUCAAGCAACAGUGUUCGAUUGUGUCCCUAAGCAUGUGCAGAAUACAUUUCCCCUUGCUGCUGAAUAACUAUAGCUUUUCCUCAAGUUUAAUAUUAUGGGACAGGGUAGUAGUAUGUGGCUUCCAGAAAAGGCCUGGGAAUAAAAUACGCCUAAUACUUGCUUUUCUUUUGUUGGCAGGCUGUGAGUUUUUGCAGUGCAUUCAGUUCCGGGUAUUGAACACAGAUGCAAUAACUCCUGCGACAUAGUAAGCCGCUUGCUAUUGGCUAGAGGUACAAGAUGCAUAGGAAUCUGAUAAAUUUGCAUGCUUCCGUUUCAUGAUGAAUUUUUCAGAAGCCACUCUUGUGGUUGUGGAGCUGGAGAGGCUGCUCUGAGGACAAUGAGAGAGCCCACAUCCUCAGGCAUGGCCAGUGCAGAAGUGGGUGCUAGGGCUUCCUGUCAACUUGCAAAUAAAUCCAGAAAAGUUACUAGUCCUCAGCAUUUUAUUUUAUUUUUAAAAAACAAACCAUUGGCUAUAUAUACUAUUACCAGUCACUGAUGCCCUACAGCGGAAAAAAGGGAGUCAAAUUUUGAUUUUUAAAAAUAGAAGCCUCCUUCCUUGUCACAAGCAAGUUUAAAGACUUGUGUUAAAUAUAAUUUUUAUACCACAUAACACCUGUAAACAUUUCAAGUGUUCCGUGUGUUUCAUGUGCAGUAUCUGGAUGUUUUAAUGCUUGCAACAGCCUUGAGAGGUAAGUUAUUCUCCCCUAUUUUGCAGAUGGAAGGGGCAGGAUGAAGCAUGCAAGAAAGUAGCUUUGCCUAAGGCCACCCUAAUGAGUUCCUGGCAGAGGCGAGAUUCGAACCUGGAACUCCCCGAUUUGCAACUUCCUCUUCCAGCCAUUACACUACUCCAACUCAUUUUACUUUUACGUCAUGCGAUGCAGACUUGCACUCUUUAUCCUGAGGCUUUCUGCAUGUGCUCUAAAAACACUCAUUUUAUCAAUCACUUUCAUUCCUUCCAGGGCUGAGUGGGCAUUCUGCAAACCAUGUUCCAAAGCUUAGGGAGCCCCGUGCUCACAUUUAAACCCUGGAAAUAUACAGAUGUGUUGUGCUUUUAUGACGGAAAAACGGAAGGUCAAUGUGAUGCUAACAGAAAGGCAUUCGAGACGGAAGGGGGGAUAUUUGCUGGUCGGAAGCCAAAACUUGCAGGCGUCGGGAGACGCAGCUUCAGAAAGGCCGGUCUCUGUGUCCCUCAUCACCCCUUAUCUUCAGAACCGUUUUGCAAAGUCAGCUCAAUCCCUGGGCCAAAGAUGAAGGGCUGAAGGGGAUAGAGAAAAGAGAGGAAGAUCAUUGUGUCAAUAAGGAAGUAUGAUGGACCCUUUGGAAGAUCAGAAGGACACAUUGACAGUGUGGGGAGAGGCAAAACAGGAAAGCCCAGGCUAAAAGCACACGCAGAUGGCCACAACCGAGAGAAUUAAAGGAUCUGGAAAUUGUAGAUGGGCUUAACCUCGGUGGGAGUAAAUUACCUUGCACAAGAAUGAUAUGGAUGGUUGGAUGAAUACCUGGUUGGGCAGAAUCGUGAAAGCAAGGUCAGAAAAGUACAGCGUUGUGAUUAUCAUGUCCAGUUUAUAAUGGCCAGUCGGAACAAUCAGGAACUGCUAACACAGACAUCCUGGCGCCGGAUACAGAAGGAGAGACGGGGCGAAAAGGCAACACACACAACGGCUGCAAAGGAACCCAAAAUGAGACAGUAGACUCCCAUCGUUGGCCUUACUUGGACCCUCGAGGAGGCUGGUGAUUUUGAAAAACCCAUCGAGAUUGGUGGAAAGAGGAGUGACAACCCAGCACCAACAAGAGGAAUAGUCUAUGGAUUCUCAGUCUAGUCCCCAUCCUGCUCCCUUGGCCAAGUCCUAGAAGGGCGAAACUGAGACUGGGGAGGAAGGAGGUACAGAGCCACCCCCUGGAUUAGCUGAGGAGCUUCAUGAAGAUGGGAGGGAGAAAUGCCACACAACAACAAGCAAGGCAAGACUCAAAUCGCAUCACCCAUAAGAAAGCAGGAACGUCAUUACCGGUGCUGCAGAGUGGAAAUUUUUCCAGCGAUUCAUCUAACUUCACUGGUAACAGUGAUUGGAUGCCAAUUGGAAAUGCGAUAUUGGCUGUUUCAAAGGUGGCCGGUUUGGUUUUUUUGUAGCUUUGUUUAGUAAACACAAGUAAAAAUAAAUUUGCACAGGGA
This is a non-coding RNA of Podarcis muralis (Common wall lizard), 2643 nucleotides long. Lineage: Eukaryota; Metazoa; Chordata; Lepidosauria; Squamata; Lacertidae. The record is from RefSeq and is a predicted model, not a curated record.